This 240-nucleotide unclassified non-coding RNA is filed under the name soil metagenome. RNAcentral's name for it is "partial contains 5.8S ribosomal RNA, internal transcribed spacer 2, and large subunit ribosomal RNA". The record is from RNAcentral.
AACCAUAGAAACCUGCGGAGUACCUGCGGAGGGAUCAUUACAGAGUUGCAAAACUCCCUAAACCAUUGUGAACGUUACCUAAACCGUUGCUUCGGCGGGCGGCCCGGGUCCUUCCCGGCGCCCAUCGGCCCUCGCGGGCGCCCGCCGGAGGUAAACCAAACUAUUGCAUUGUAUGGCCUCUCUGAGUCUUCUGUACUGAAUAGGUCAAAACUUUCAACAAUGGAUCUCAGAUCGGAAGAG